ACCCAGGCGUGUGUUCCAGACCAGCGGGUGUUACUCCAUUAUCUGCACACAUGAAUUGCCCAGAAGAGAGGCGACAAACAAAAGUGCAGGGCCCUCCUAACUUCGUCGCCAGUUAUAGAAGGAGCCUCUGUAACCUGCUCAUUACUACUUCGAAUGGAGGAGUCGUGGCUGCUCCGGGUACUGUACAGAUUUGAACAUGGCCUGCAGGGACAAAUGCUCCUACCAGGUAGUCUACGGAGCAAGAUAUGUGGUCAAGAUACUGGUUGAACAAGACAAGGUGAUGUGCUUGUGGAAGUAGGCUGCUCUUUCCGACGAAGAUGCAAAGUGAUACGGUUGCUGUGCAUUAAACAAAACAUCCGGAGAGCAUUUUUCAUGUUAUUUUCAGGCAAUUACAACUCGCGCUUCAAGCAAAACCACCUUUUUGCCAAUUCACUGAGGAAUUUCCUGCAUGGAGAUCACACUUCACAGUCUCUUCUUGUAGCAAAUUAACUUUGCUCUGCCUCCCUAGAUUUCAUCGCUUUCUGUUUUCUUGAAAUGUUGUGUGCCAAUGUACGUGUGUCACACCGUAGUGACAACAUAUACAGGUGUCCCGAGAUUUGGUAAGC
Dermacentor andersoni is the source of this 605-nucleotide long non-coding RNA. RefSeq lists it as uncharacterized. The record is from RefSeq and is a predicted model, not a curated record. Lineage: Eukaryota; Metazoa; Arthropoda; Arachnida; Ixodida; Ixodidae.